GAUGAACGCUAGCGGCAGGCUUAACACAUGCAAGUCGAGGGGUAACGUGAGUGCUUGCACUUGACGACGACCGGCGAACGGGUGCGUAACGCGUAUAGAAUCUGCCUUGUACAGGAGGAUAGCCCAGAGAAAUUUGGAUUAAUACUCCAUAAUGUUAUGUAGUGGCAUCAUUAUAUAAUUAAAGAUUUAUUGGUACAAGAUGACUAUGCGUCCUAUUAGUUAGAUGGUAAGGUAACGGCUUACCAUGGCAUCGAUAGGUAGGGGGUCUGAGAGGAUUAUCCCCCACACUGGUACUGAGACACGGACCAGACUCCUACGGGAGGCAGCAGUGAGGAAUAUUGGACAAUGGGCGAGAGCCUGAUCCAGCCAUGCCGCGUGCAGGAAGACUGCCCUAUGGGUUGUAAACUGCUUUUAUACAGGAAGAAACCUACUUACGUGUAAGUAGCUGACGGUACUGUAAGAAUAAGCACCGGCUAACUCCGUGCCAGCAGCCGCGGUAAUACGGAGGGUGCAAGCGUUAUCCGGGAUCAUUGGGUUUAAAGGGUCCGCAGGCGGUCAAUUAAGUCAGAGGUGAAAUCUCACAGCUUAACUGUGAAACUGCCUUUGAUGCUGGUUGACUUGAGUCAUAUGGAAGUAGAUAGAAUAAGUAGUGUAGCGGUGAAAUGCAUAGAUAUUACUUAGAAUACCGAUUGCGAAGGCAGUCUACUACGUAUGUACUGACGCUCAUGGACGAAGCGUGGGGAGCGAACAGG
Molecule: ribosomal RNA, 752 nt
Filed under: uncultured bacterium
Lineage: Bacteria
Description: bacterial SSU rRNA
Rfam family: Bacterial small subunit ribosomal RNA
Source: RNAcentral